GGGCGCCGCCGCCGCCCCUUCCGCCGCGGGGUGCGAGCGGGUGGGGCAUGGCCGUCCGCGCGUGGCCUCCCGGGAGCCGUUGCUGAACCCGGGGGCAACGGUCGUCCGCGGGGCGGGGGCGGCGCGGCACCAGGGCGCCCGCUAGAAACGCCGCGUUUUGGGGUUCAGGGGAGCGCCGACUCCGCCGCGAGGGCGGGCGGAGGUGCGCGGCGCUGCGGGCGGGGAGGUCCGGGAGCGGGGAGUUCGGUCCGUCCCCUCCUUCCCGUCCGUAGCAGCAAAAAUGAAAUUGCCGUUGCGGGUGUUUAUUUAAAAACGUGGCCACCCCCUGCACGAGAGAGAUGCAAAAAUACGAAAAAACAAAUUUUUCCCGUGAAACUCGCUGCCCGGCAUGUGUUGGGGCAGUUAAAGGUCCCCGGAGAGGGGGCUGCUGACCUGCACCAGCAGCAGGGUGAGCUGCAGCCCAGAUGGCAGGAGAUGGGCCAAGCCUGGCUUCAGCAGGGAGAGCACAGCCCCCCGUGAUUCCAGUGUUUCAGCCAUUUUCUGCUGUGAGGUGCUGGGUUGGGCGGAAAAAGCUUGGUCAAAAGACUGCCUAAGGCCUUACUGGUCAAAUAACGUACAACUAAAUUCACUGCCGCGUAUGAGGCAUCCUGGUGGUGCUCUGCUCAGGCUGUAAAACCACCCAUUUCACGGCCUUGAUUCACUCUGCAGACCCAUCGGUAAAGUGGCUGCUGCUUACUUGUCAGAGGACAGUGCGAGGAGCUUGGCGUCAGAACAAGGCGGAGUGAUCUUUAGAUUGACUAAGGGAGAUUGAGCGGGGCAGAUGCUGUUAUUCUGCCCUCUGCCAGAGGAACAUAGGCCAGGGAGAAUUCCCACAGCCUGGAGGGCUCAAGCAGGCUUAACAGAGAGCUCAGUAACCAGUUCACGCUGGCUGAUACAAUGUCGGAAAAGAUCCCUGACACCAGCAGAGGCUACAGCUCCAGCACCAAGUACUACCAUCAAGGAGUGGGCUCUACCCACCUCACUAGGCAGUGAGCGCAGUGAGUCUACAACAGUUGCUCAAAGCUGGGUCUCCACAGCAGUGGCACAACAAUAACUGUGACACAGGAACAGUCACUCUUAGCUCUAAAAUGCAUCUAAGAUUUGGGGAUAGAGUAUACCUAAGUAUACCUAGUAACACAGAACUACGGUAGAGUUCAAUUUUCACACAUGGGUUAUAAACUUAAUAAAAAAGAAAAAC
Long non-coding RNA from Dromaius novaehollandiae (emu), 1237 nucleotides. RefSeq lists it as uncharacterized. The record is from RefSeq and is a predicted model, not a curated record. Lineage: Eukaryota; Metazoa; Chordata; Aves; Casuariiformes; Dromaiidae. The transcript is spliced from 3 exons.